This 480-nucleotide ribosomal RNA is filed under the name uncultured bacterium. RNAcentral's name for it is "bacterial SSU rRNA". It matches the Rfam family "Bacterial small subunit ribosomal RNA", at positions 501 to 984 of the family's 1533-position model. The record is from RNAcentral.
CUACGUGCCAGCAGCCGCGGUAAUACGGAAGGUCCGGGCGUUAUCCGGAUUUAUUGGGUUUAAAGGGAGCGUAGGCCGCCUCUUAAGCGUGUUGUGAAAUGCGGGUGCUCAACAUCCGACUUGCAGCGCGAACUGGGGGGCUUGAGUGCGCCGAAAGUAGGCGGAAUUCGUGGUGUAGCGGUGAAAUGCUUAGAUAUCACGAAGAACUCCGAUUGCGAAGGCAGCUUACUGUAGCGCAACUGACGCUGAUGCUCGAAAGCGUGGGUAUCGAACAGGAUUAGAUACCCUGGUAGUCCACGCGGUAAACGAUGGAUGCUCGUUGUUGGCCCUUAUGGUCAGUGACCAAGCGAAAGCGUUAAGCAUCCCACCUGGGGAGUACGCCGGCAACGGUGAAACUCAAAGGAAUUGACGGGGGCCCGCACAAGCGGAGGAACAUGUGGUUUAAUUCGAUGAUACGCGAGGAACCUUACCCGGGCUUGA